UACGAAGGGUGCAAGCGUUACUCGGAAUCACUGGGCGUAAAGCGUGCGUAGGUGGUGAGUUAAGUCUGAUGUGAAAUCCCCGGGCUCAACCUGGGAAUGGCAUUGGAUACUGGCUCGCUGGAGUGCGGUAGAGGGCGGUGGAAUUCCCGGUGUAGCAGUGAAAUGCGUAGAGAUCGGGAGGAACAUCUGUGGCGAAGGCGGCCACCUGGACCAGCACUGACACUGAGGCACGAAAGCGUGGGGAGCAAACAGG
This 253-nucleotide ribosomal RNA is filed under the name uncultured bacterium. RNAcentral describes it as "partial 16S ribosomal RNA". It matches the Rfam family "Bacterial small subunit ribosomal RNA", at positions 524 to 776 of the family's 1533-position model. The record is from RNAcentral.